CGGCCAUUGUCAACGCCACUGACACCAAGAACCGGACCCCCUGCAUGCGGCGGCUUUCACGGACCACGUGGAGUGUCUUCAGCUGCUGCUAGGCCACAACGCCCAGGUCAACUCCCCCGAUGCCUCCGGGAAGACCUCCCUCAUGAUGGCUGCUGAGAACGGACAAACCAACGCUGUCGAGCUGUUGGUGAGCAGUGCCAAAGCAGAGCUCACCCUGCAGGAUGCUCAAGU
Molecule: long non-coding RNA, 231 nt
Organism: Coregonus clupeaformis (lake whitefish)
Lineage: Eukaryota; Metazoa; Chordata; Actinopteri; Salmoniformes; Salmonidae
Exons: 3
Source: RefSeq, a predicted model, not a curated record